RNAcentral lists this ribosomal RNA (465 nucleotides) under uncultured Klebsiella sp. RNAcentral's name for it is "bacterial SSU rRNA". It matches the Rfam family "Bacterial small subunit ribosomal RNA", at positions 338 to 795 of the family's 1533-position model. Lineage: Bacteria; Pseudomonadati; Pseudomonadota; Gammaproteobacteria; Enterobacterales; Enterobacteriaceae. The record is from RNAcentral.
CCUACGGGCGGCAGCAGUGGGGAAUAUUGCACAAUGGGCGCAAGCCUGAUGCAGCCAUGCCGCGUGUGUGAAGAAGGCCUUCGGGUUGUAAAGCACUUUCAGCGGGGAGGAAGGCGGUGAGGUUAAUAACCUCAUCGAUUGACGUUACCCGCAGAAGAAGCACCGGCUAACUCCGUGCCAGCAGCCGCGGUAAUACGGAGGGUGCAAGCGUUAAUCGGAAUUACUGGGCGUAAAGCGCACGCAGGCGGUCUGUCAAGUCGGAUGUGAAAUCCCCGGGCUCAACCUGGGAACUGCAUUCGAAACUGGCAGGCUAGAGUCUUGUAGAGGGGGGUAGAAUUCCAGGUGUAGCGGUGAAAUGCGUAGAGAUCUGGAGGAAUACCGGUGGCGAAGGCGACUGCCUGGACCAGUACUGACACUGAGGCACGAAAGCGUGGGGAGCAAACAGGAUUAGAUACCCCGGUAGUC